GCCCCGGUAGCUCAGUCCGGUCAGAGCACCGCCUUGGUAAGGCGGGGGUCCCGGGUUCGAAUCCCGGCCGGGGCUCCA
This 78-nucleotide transfer RNA is filed under the name Thermoprotei archaeon. RNAcentral describes it as "tRNA-Thr". It matches the Rfam family "tRNA". Rfam says of the family: Transfer RNA (tRNA) molecules are approximately 80 nucleotides in length. The record is from RNAcentral. Lineage: Archaea; Thermoproteati; Thermoproteota; Thermoprotei.